RNAcentral lists this ribosomal RNA (484 nucleotides) under uncultured bacterium. RNAcentral's name for it is "partial 16S ribosomal RNA". It matches the Rfam family "Bacterial small subunit ribosomal RNA", at positions 30 to 507 of the family's 1533-position model. The record is from RNAcentral.
AUUGAACGCUGGCGGCAUGCCUAACACAUGCCAGUCGAGCGGAUGAAGGGAGCUUGCUCCUGGAUUCAGCGGCGGACGGGUGAGUAAUGCCUAGGAAUCUGCCUGGUAGUGGGGGAUAACGUCCUGAAACGGGCGCUAAUACCGCAUACGUCCUGAGUGAGAAAGUGGGGGAUCUUCGGACCUCACGCUAUCAGAUGAGCCUGGGUCGGAUUAGCUAGUUGGUGGGGUAGAGGCCUACCAAGGCGACGAGCCGUUACUGGUCUGAGAGGAUGAUCAGUCACACAGGAAGUGAGAGAGGGUCCAGCCUGCCACGGGAGGCAGGAGGGGGGAAUAGUGGAUAAUGGGUGAGAGCAUGACUGAUCCAGCGCGGGCGUGUGAAGGAGGUCUGCGGAUGGGAAAGCACUUUCUUUUGGGAGGAAGGGAAGUAAGUUAAUACCUUGGUGUUUUGACGUUACCAAGAGAAGAAGCACCGGCUAACUUCGUG